Molecule: ribosomal RNA, 948 nt
Filed under: uncultured Enterococcaceae bacterium
Lineage: Bacteria; Bacillati; Bacillota; Bacilli; Lactobacillales; Enterococcaceae
Description: bacterial SSU rRNA
Rfam family: Bacterial small subunit ribosomal RNA
Source: RNAcentral
AGAGUUUGAUCAUGGCUCAGAUUGAACGCUGGCGGCAGGCUUAACACAUGCAAGUCGAGCGGGGGAGAUUGCUUCGGUAAUUGACCUAGCGGCGGACGGGUGAGUAAUACUUAGGAAUCUGCCUAUUAAUGGGGGACAACAUCUCGAAAGGGAUGCUAAUACCGCAUACGCCCUACGGGGGAAAGCAGGGGAUCACUUGUGACCUUGCGUUAAUAGAUGAGCCUAAGUCGGAUUAGCUAGUUGGUGGGGUAAAGGCCUACCAAGGCGACGAUCUGUAGCGGGUCUGAGAGGAUGAUCCGCCACACUGGGACUGAGACACGGCCCAGACUCCUACGGGAGGCAGCAGUGGGGAAUAUUGGACAAUGGGGGGAACCCUGAUCCAGCCAUGCCGCGUGUGUGAAGAAGGCCUUAUGGUUGUAAAGCACUUUAAGCGAGGAGGAGGCUCUCUUGGUUAAUACCCAAGAUGAGUGGACGUUACUCGCAGAAUAAGCACCGGCUAACUCUGUGCCAGCAGCCGCGGUAAUACAGAGGGUGCGAGCGUUAAUCGGAUUUACUGGGCGUAAAGCGUGCGUAGGCGGCUUUUUAAGUCGGAUGUGAAAUCCCCGAGCUUAACUUGGGAAUUGCAUUCGAUACUGGGAAGCUAGAGUAUGGGAGAGGAUGGUAGAAUUCCAGGUGUAGCGGUGAAAUGCGUAGAGAUCUGGAGGAAUACCGAUGGCGAAGGCAGCCAUCUGGCCUAAUACUGACGCUGAGGUACGAAAGCAUGGGGAGCAAACAGGAUUAGAUACCCUGGUAGUCCAUGCCGUAAACGAUGUCUACUAGCCGUUGGGGCCUUUGAGGCUUUAGUGGCGCAGCUAACGCGAUAAGUAGACCGCCUGGGGAGUACGGUCGCAAGACUAAAACUCAAAUGAAUUGACGGGGGCCCGCACAAGCGGUGGAGCAUGUGGUUUA